RNAcentral lists this ribosomal RNA (616 nucleotides) under Pseudomonas aeruginosa. RNAcentral's name for it is "bacterial SSU rRNA". It matches the Rfam family "Bacterial small subunit ribosomal RNA", at positions 71 to 683 of the family's 1533-position model. The record is from RNAcentral. Lineage: Bacteria; Pseudomonadati; Pseudomonadota; Gammaproteobacteria; Pseudomonadales; Pseudomonadaceae.
GAAGGGAGCUUGCUCCUGGAUUCAGCGGCGGACGGGUGAGUAAUGCCUAGGAAUCUGCCUGGUAGUGGGGGAUAACGUCCGGAAACGGGCGCUAAUACCGCAUACGUCCUGAGGGAGAAAGUGGGGGAUCUUCGGACCUCACGCUAUCAGAUGAGCCUAGGUCGGAUUAGCUAGUUGGUGGGGUAAAGGCCUACCAAGGCGACGAUCCGUAACUGGUCUGAGAGGAUGAUCAGUCACACUGGAACUGAGACACGGUCCAGACUCCUACGGGAGGCAGCAGUGGGGAAUAUUGGACAAUGGGCGAAAGCCUGAUCCAGCCAUGCCGCGUGUGUGAAGAAGGUCUUCGGAUUGUAAAGCACUUUAAGUUGGGAGGAAGGGCAGUAAGUUAAUACCUUGCUGUUUUGACGUUACCAACAGAAUAAGCACCGGCUAACUUCGUGCCAGCAGCCGCGGUAAUACGAAGGGUGCAAGCGUUAAUCGGAAUUACUGGGCGUAAAGCGCGCGUAGGUGGUUCAGCAAGUUGGAUGUGAAAUCCCCGGGCUCAACCUGGGAACUGCAUCCAAAACUACUGAGCUAGAGUACGGUAGAGGGUGGUGGAAUUUCCUGUGUAGCGGUG